GGGUUCAUAGAUCAGCUGGUUAGAGCGCUCGGUUUACAUCCGAGAGGUCGGGGGUUCGAUCCCCUCUGAGCCCA
Molecule: transfer RNA, 74 nt
Filed under: Candidatus Beckwithbacteria bacterium
Lineage: Bacteria; Candidatus Beckwithiibacteriota
Description: tRNA-Val
Rfam family: tRNA
About the family: Transfer RNA (tRNA) molecules are approximately 80 nucleotides in length. Their secondary structure includes four short double-helical elements and three loops (D, anti-codon, and T loops).
Source: RNAcentral